GAUGAACGCUGGCGGCGUGCCUAAUACAUGCAAGUCGAGCGAACAGACGAGGAGCUUGCUCCUCUGACGUUAGCGGCGGACGGGUGAGUAACACGCGGAUAACCUACCUAUAAAACUGGGAUAACUUCGGGACACCGGAGCUAAUCCCGGAUAAUCUAUUCAACCGCAUGGUUCCUUAGUGCACGACGGUUUUGCUAUCACUUAUAGCUGGAUCCGCGCAGCAUUAGCUAGUUGGUAAGGUAACGACUUACCAAGGCAACGAUGCGUAGCCGACCUGAGAGGGUGAUCGGCCACACUGGAACUGAGACACGUUCCAGACUCCUACGGGAGGCAGCAGUAGGGAAUCUUCCGCAAUGGGCGAAAGCUUGACGGAGCAACGCCGCGUGAGUGAUGAAGGUCUUCGGAUCGGAAAGCUCUGUUAUUAGGGAAGAACAAAUGUGUAAGUAACUAUGCACGUCUUGACGGUACCUAGUCAGAAAGCCACGGCUAACUACGUG
Molecule: ribosomal RNA, 497 nt
Filed under: uncultured bacterium
Lineage: Bacteria
Description: partial 16S ribosomal RNA
Rfam family: Bacterial small subunit ribosomal RNA
Source: RNAcentral